RNAcentral lists this unclassified non-coding RNA (346 nucleotides) under soil metagenome. RNAcentral's name for it is "partial contains 5.8S ribosomal RNA, internal transcribed spacer 2, and large subunit ribosomal RNA". The stretch from base 1 to 119 matches the Rfam family "5.8S ribosomal RNA", at positions 35 to 154 of the family's 154-position model. The record is from RNAcentral.
GAUGAAGAACGUAGCGAAAUGCGAUACGUAAUGUGAAUUGCAAAUUCAGUGAAUCAUCGAGUCUUUGAACGCACAUUGCGCCCCCUGGUAUUCCGUGGGGCAUGCCUGUCCGAGCGUCAUUGCUGCCCUCAAGCACGGCUUGUGUGUUGGGCCCCGUCCUCCGAUCCCGGGGGACGGGCCCGAAAGGCAGCGGCGGCACCGCGUCCGGUCCUCGAGCGUAUGGGGCUUUGUCACCCGCUCUGUAGGCCCGGCCGGCGCUUGCCGAUCAACCCAAAUUUUUUAUCCAGGUUGACCUCGGAUCAGGUAGGGAUACCCGCUGAACUUAAGCAUAUCAAUAAGCGGAGGA